Camelus ferus (Wild Bactrian camel) is the source of this 72-nucleotide transfer RNA. It matches the Rfam family "tRNA". From Rfam's summary of the family: Transfer RNA (tRNA) molecules are approximately 80 nucleotides in length. Their secondary structure includes four short double-helical elements and three loops (D, anti-codon, and T loops). NCBI's taxonomy places the organism in Eukaryota, Metazoa, Chordata, Mammalia, Artiodactyla, Camelidae. The record is from Rfam.
GAGGGUGUAGCUUAGUAGUAGAGUGUGUGCUUAGCAUGCACGAGGUCUUGGGUUCAAACCCCAGUACCUCCA